RNAcentral lists this ribosomal RNA (946 nucleotides) under Thyrinula uruguayensis. RNAcentral's name for it is "partial 28S ribosomal RNA". It matches the Rfam family "Eukaryotic large subunit ribosomal RNA", at positions 1 to 968 of the family's 3401-position model. Lineage: Eukaryota; Fungi; Ascomycota; Dothideomycetes; Asterinales; Asterinaceae. The record is from RNAcentral.
UUUGACCUCGGAUCAGGUGGGGAUACCCGCUGAACUUAAGCAUAUCAAUAAGCGGAGGAAGAGAAACCAACCGGGAUUGCCCUAGUAACGGCGAGUGAAGCGGCAACAGCUCAAAUUUGAAAUCUGGCGCCUUCGGUGCCCGAGUUGUAAUUUGUAGAGGGUAGCUCGAGCCCGCCCCCGUCUAAGUCCCCUGGAACGGGGCGUCGUAGAGGGUGAGAAUCCCGUAUGCGACGGGGUGGCGUGCUCGUGUGAGCUCCCUUCGACGAGUCGAGUUGUUUGGGAAUGCAGCUCUAAAUGGGAGGUAAAUUCCUUCUAAAGCUAAAUACCGGCCAGAGACCGAUAGCGCACAAGUAGAGUGAUCGAAAGAUGAAAAGCACUUUGGAAAGAGAGUUAAAAAGCACGUGAAAUUGUUGAAAGGGAAGCGCUCACGACCAGACUCGGGUGCGGCUGCUCAGCCGGUCUUCUGACCGGUGCAUCGGUUGCACCCGGGCCAGCAUCGGUUCGGGCGGUCGGAUAAAGGUCUCGGGAACGUAGCUCCCCUCGGGGAGUGUUAUAGCCCGGGGCGCAAUGCGGCCUGCCCGGACCGAGGAACGCGUUCGCUAGGAUGCUGGCGUAAUGGUCGUUAGCGGCCCGUCUUGAAACACGGACCAAGGAGUCUACCAUCUGUGCGAGUAUUAGGGUGUCAAACCCUCGUGCGUAAUGAAAGUGAACGGAGGUGGGAACCCUUUGGGUGCACCAUCGACCGAUCCAGAUGUCCUCGGACGGAUUUGAGUAAGAGCACCGCUGGUGGGACCCGAAAGAUGGUGAACUAUGCGCGGAUAGGGUGAAGCCAGAGGAAACUCUGGUGGAGGCUCGCAGCGGUUCUGACGUGCAAAUCGAUCGUCAAAUCUACGCAUAGGGGCGAAAGACUAAUCGAACCAUCUAGUAGCUGGUUCCUGCCGAAGUU